ACAGAAGGGUCAUUACAAAUCCCCUAGACUACUUGUGUUUGUGCACAAGAUUGGAGGACAUCGACCAAAGUCGAGAUCCAUCUUCAUCGUAGACGUCAUCUCUUUUUCUUUGCCUAGGUGUCUCUCUCUCUCUCGUGACGUCAACUUCAUUCCCCGAUUUUUCUUUUUCUUUUGUGGAGCCACUUCAAAAUGUUUUACGAUUCCUUUGGCGACGCUUAUCACAUCCAGUUGCUGUUUGAGGAAACUCAAACUAAUUCCAAAAGAAAUGAAAAGAUUGUGGUUUUUGAAGAGGAACCCCCCUCCCGCCGAUCAUCGUUAGCUUGUCAAAGACACUACUUCGUUCUUUUGUUUUCUUUGUGUGUGUGUGUGUGUGUGUGGAGGGGGGACAUCUUGCGCGUUUGGCAAACGCCAGCAAACGCCUACCGUCCUACAGCGGCCAUCGUUUGCCCAUUUUCUUUAUUGAUUGAGGAGCUUUUGCCUACCAACAUAAUCGUUUUUGAUUGCAGUGACCACAGACGAAGGCAGCGGUGGCCAUAUUGGGUUGGAUCGACGUCAAUGUUAACGCAUUUAAAACAAAAUAAAAUCAAAAAAAUAUUCAUUUUCUCUUUGUUGUUAGUCAACAAUUUUUCCUACAUCGCAGGAGUAGAAGAAAUAAUUUUUUUUUUUGCAAAACAGGGGGGGGGGUUGUACGGAACUUCCUUCCGGAUUGAUCCGUGUGCAGUCUAAUAGAACGACGCAGAAAGAAGGUAAAAAAAAAAACAAAAAACGCGGGAGCCAAAAAUACAUAAAUGGGGCGGUACCAUCGCAAUGCCCCACAUUUUUCUCCUUUUUGUUCGACCACGCGUCGAAGAUGGCCGGACUGCUCUAGAAUCAGGCGUGGGCGCCAACACACACACACACACAAAAAAUAAAAAUACUACGAUUUGUGGAUGGGGACGAACAAAAAUUCCGCAGUUUGGCCUCCCUUUGCGUUCCAUUGGACACGAUUUAUCGGUGCGACUCGAUGAUUGGUUUGAUGAUGUCGGGAGUGGGGGAAAAAAAAAAGAUAGAUGAAAGCGGAUAUACAACGGCACGUAGAGAAAAAAAAAAAACACAUCCCUGCCAGUUGGAAACGACAAUUCAAACGCGGUUCGUGGUGUUUGCCAAUCUUUUUAUUUAUUUUUUGCUAUGUCAAUUGUUGUUGUCCCCUCUGAGGAGAGGGCUGUUAUCGUCAUUUCCUCAGCAGCUCUCUCGCCAUCGGAUCACUGCUGCUUCGAUUGACUUGGCCCCAAACAUCAACAAAGGCCAAACCAAUUGAUGAAAAACUAUUGCAUGUGUACAUCUGUGUGUGUGUGUGUGUGUGUGUUUGUUCCUUCCUUCCCGAACCCGUUUUGUCUCCCCCCUCCCUCUUCUUCCGGGUGUUCUUGCUAUUUUUCAAGUCAACGCAAUUCAAAAAAAAAAAAAAAAGGAGGGAGGGGACGAAGACAGCAAACAAACAAAAAUACACAAACUGAGCAAGCAAACAAAGAAAAUCAAAACAACAUAAGGCCAAUCUAUCAAACUGACACGCCAUGACGCCAGCGGUCUCUAUAUCGAAGAAGAAAGGGGAGGAAGAAAGCGAAGCAUCUCCAACCGAAAAUGUUGAAGAGGAUUUUUUUGUUUUUGUUUUUGUUCUUUGAUAUUUUUUUUUCUUUCUUCGUUUCUGCUGCUGAUGUCGAUGGUGACGGAUGGCUUGCGGAUACGCCAUCGAGCAGUUCUAAUAUUAGGUCAAAAUAAACAGCUAAUACCGAAUUGUGUGCCCUCAUAACUGUCUCCUCCAUUGUUUUCCCUUUUCGACACGUUUUGUUUUCCCCCACGUUCGUUCAGACUACGUUUUCCCGCGAUUUAUCAACUCGUCUAUU
Molecule: long non-coding RNA, 1880 nt
Organism: Daphnia magna
Lineage: Eukaryota; Metazoa; Arthropoda; Branchiopoda; Diplostraca; Daphniidae
Exons: 2
Source: RefSeq, a predicted model, not a curated record